Molecule: long non-coding RNA, 229 nt
Filed under: Elaeis guineensis (African oil palm)
Lineage: Eukaryota; Viridiplantae; Streptophyta; Magnoliopsida; Arecales; Arecaceae
Description: long non-coding RNA (EGUI_LNC025578)
Source: RNAcentral
ACAGCUAGGGUUCCGAUAAAAUUCUAACCAUCAUCUAAGCUUCCCUAUUCAACCGCCCGAAGACUCCCACCUGAUUGAGACUUUUGAGUAUAGAAAAAUAGUAGAAAAACCUAAGGCAAACUUAGGAAAAAUCAACGAAGACAAGAGAUAGACAAAAAAAGAAAAGAAAGGUGACACCUUUUUCCACAUAGAUUGAUCAUUCUUUUUUCUUUUCACUUCUUUUUCUUUU